RNAcentral lists this ribosomal RNA (940 nucleotides) under uncultured Flavobacterium sp. RNAcentral describes it as "bacterial SSU rRNA". It matches the Rfam family "Bacterial small subunit ribosomal RNA", at positions 451 to 1397 of the family's 1533-position model. The record is from RNAcentral. Lineage: Bacteria; Pseudomonadati; Bacteroidota; Flavobacteriia; Flavobacteriales; Flavobacteriaceae.
CACUACUUCGUGAAGUAGCUUGACGGUAUCGUAAGAAUAAGGAUCGGCUAACUCCGUGCCAGCAGCCGCGGUAAUACGGAGGAUCCAAGCGUUAUCCGGAAUCAUUGGGUUUAAAGGGUCCGUAGGCGGUUUAAUAAGUCAGUGGUGAAAGCCCAUCGCUCAACGGUGGAACGGCCAUUGAUACUGUUAAACUUGAAUUAUUAGGAAGUAACUAGAAUAUGUAGUGUAGCGGUGAAAUGCUUAGAGAUUACAUGGAAUACCAAUUGCGAAGGCAGGUUACUACUAAUGGAUUGACGCUGAUGGACGAAAGCGUGGGUAGCGAACAGGAUUAGAUACCCUGGUAGUCCACGCCGUAAACGAUGGAUACUAGCUGUUGGGAGCAAUCUCAGUGGCUAAGCGAAAGUGAUAAGUAUCCCACCUGGGGAGUACGUUCGCAAGAAUGAAACUCAAAGGAAUUGACGGGGGCCCGCACAAGCGGUGGAGCAUGUGGUUUAAUUCGAUGAUACGCGAGGAACCUUACCAAGGCUUAAAUGUAGAUUGACCGGUUUGGAAACAGAUCUUUCGCAAGACAAUUUACAAGGUGCUGCAUGGUUGUCGUCAGCUCGUGCCGUGAGGUGUCAGGUUAAGUCCUAUAACGAGCGCAACCCCUGUUGUUAGUUGCCAGCGAGUCAUGUCGGGAACUCUAACAAGACUGCCAGUGCAAACUGUGAGGAAGGUGGGGAUGACGUCAAAUCAUCACGGCCCUUACGCCUUGGGCUACACACGUGCUACAAUGGCCGGUACAGAGAGCAGCCACUGGGCGACCAGGAGCGAAUCUAUAAAACCGGUCACAGUUCGGAUCGGAGUCUGCAACUCGACUCCGCGAAGCUGGAAUCGCUAGUAAUCGGAUAUCAGCCAUGAUCCGGUGAAUACGUUCCCGGGCCUUGUACACACCGCCCGU